AUGACGGGACCGCCGCCGCCGUCAGCUGACCCGGGGAGGAGCGGAGCGGCUCCGCCGCGGGGAGAGCCCGCGCUGGCUGCGGGGAGAAACCGAGGGGGAUCCCGAGGUGUUCGUGGCUUGCUGAGGGUUUAUUGGUGUUUGAAGGCAUCAGUUUUCCACUUAGAAACUGCUAAGGGAUCCUGGAGUGUUUACAGGAGAUGGAGAGGUCCUUUGGAUUAAACACACCCAGGAAAGGCAACACCACUGUCCCAAGUUUACAUCUGCUCAAGAAGUGUUUCCUGAAAAACAAGUAGGGGCCUAAAAACUGGAAAACCGAACCUAAAAAGCUGGAAAAGCAACUCUGAAAUAGUACUGAGGAGAAGAUCAUCACUACCCAUCCUUUCUGGAAGUCUUUUGGGUUAUCUGGGCAUUAUUUUGGUGUGUGGUGACUCGUCUGGUGCCUGUCAGUACCAAAGAAGGUACCAGAUAUUCCAAGAAUGCGCGGAAACGCAGAUUUAAAACGUGUGGACGGCUGACAAAGAGCUCAGCCAGCGAUGUGAAAUAUUGCCAUCUAACAGCUUUUGGGGAGAUUUUCGCAUCAACUGAAUUGGCAGCCUGGAGUUCAGCGGGCAAAGCAUGCAAAUGAAAAUUGAUACUUCUCUCAGCGACUGGAAGCGAAAGGGCAGGGCCGGAGCGUGCUCUGGGAUGAACUCAGCCCUGGGAGAUGGAGACAGAGGUGCACUGAUGGGAAAAGUGCCCGGCUCUUCUGUCUGCGGCGCGUCCCUGGCGUGGAUAAAUACACCGCUCGCUGUUCAUCACUGUCAGGAAAAUUGUCACUUCUCAUGAGCGCCACAUUAAUUAAAAGUGAGAGUUCGGGCCGGGCAGCUGAGCGCUCGGGAUCCUUUGGAAGGGGGAUGGAGUGCUGCGUUCUUAGCAAAACACCACUCAGUGAAACCAAACGGGUGCCAGAACAGGGGGAAAUCAAUCUGAACUCAUGAGAAAUUGAUUUCCAAACCUCUUCUUACCCCGUUCAACCAGCGGGGCCGUGUAAGGUCGCCAGACGGGCUCAUGAAACUGUGUAGCAGAAUAAAAAUUGUAUUUAUCAACUUUGA
Agelaius phoeniceus (red-winged blackbird) is the source of this 1091-nucleotide long non-coding RNA. RefSeq lists it as uncharacterized. Lineage: Eukaryota; Metazoa; Chordata; Aves; Passeriformes; Icteridae. The record is from RefSeq and is a predicted model, not a curated record.